RNAcentral lists this ribosomal RNA (497 nucleotides) under uncultured bacterium. RNAcentral's name for it is "partial 16S ribosomal RNA". It matches the Rfam family "Bacterial small subunit ribosomal RNA", at positions 28 to 507 of the family's 1533-position model. The record is from RNAcentral.
GAUGAACGCUGGCGGCGUGCCUAAUACAUGCAAGUCGAGCGAACAGACGAGGAGCUUGCUCCUCUGACGUUAGCGGCGGACGGGUGAGUAACACGUGGAUAACCUACCUAUAAGACUGGGAUAACUUCGGGAAACCGGAGCUAAUACCGGAUAACAUGUUGAACCGCAUGGUUCAACAGUGAAAGACGGUCUUGCUGUCACUUAUAGAUGGAUCCGCGCCGCAUUAGCUAGUUGGUAAGGUAACGGCUUACCAAGGCAACGAUGCGUAGCCGACCUGAGAGGGUGAUCGGCCACACUGGAACUGAGGCACGGUCCAGACUCCUACGGGAGGCAGCAGUAGGGAAUCUUCCGCAAUGGGCGAAAGCCUGACGGAGCAACGCCGCGUGAGUGAAGAAGGUCUUCGGAUCGUAAAACUCUGUUAGUAGGGAAGAACAAAUGUGUAAGUAACUAUGCACGUCUUGACGGUACCUAAUCAGAAAGCCACGGCUAACUACGUG